This 152-nucleotide ribosomal RNA is filed under the name Trichinella sp. T8. RNAcentral describes it as "5.8S ribosomal RNA". It matches the Rfam family "5.8S ribosomal RNA". From Rfam's summary of the family: 5.8S ribosomal RNA (5.8S rRNA) is a component of the large subunit of the eukaryotic ribosome. The record is from Rfam by way of RNAcentral. Lineage: Eukaryota; Metazoa; Nematoda; Enoplea; Trichinellida; Trichinellidae.
CACUGUUAACGGUGGAUCACUUGGUUCGUACGUCGAUGAAAAACGAGGCGAGACUCGAAAGUUUAUGUGAAUUGCAGCCACGUUGAACAUAGAAAUUUUGAACGCACAUUGCGGUGUUGAGUUGACUCGACGCCGCGUCUGUCUGAGGGUCG